Molecule: transfer RNA, 361 nt
Filed under: uncultured Microcystis sp.
Lineage: Bacteria; Bacillati; Cyanobacteriota; Cyanophyceae; Chroococcales; Microcystaceae
Description: partial 16S-23S ribosomal RNA intergenic spacer
Rfam family: tRNA (bases 136-209)
Source: RNAcentral
AAAGGGAGACCUAAUUCAGGUAGGAGACGAAAAAAAAGUAGUCGCUACCAAGAAUCAAUCCCAAAAGGUCGGAGCGAGGCGAAAUUGGCUUUCAAACUAGGUUCUGGGUUCACAGAAGACCUGAAUCAGGAACAAGGGCUAUUAGCUCAGGUGGUUAGAGCGCACCCCUGAUAAGGGUGAGGUCCCUGGUUCGAGUCCAGGAUGGCCCACCUGCACAGGUGGUAAAAACAAGAGAAGCGAGGAAUCAGCACCUUAUCUUACUUACAUAGUAAGAGAGAAUGCUGGCUCUGAGUAAAGAGUCCAGAGGAACCUUGAAAACUGCAUAGAGCUAGGUGAAAAAGCCAAAAAAGAAGACCGCAAG